Molecule: ribosomal RNA, 253 nt
Filed under: uncultured bacterium
Lineage: Bacteria
Description: partial 16S ribosomal RNA
Rfam family: Bacterial small subunit ribosomal RNA
Source: RNAcentral
UACGAAGGGGGCUAGCGUUGUUCGGAAUUACUGGGCGUAAAGCGCGCGCAGGCGGUUUCUCAAGUCAGUGGUGAAAGCCCGGAGCUCAACUCCGGAACUGCCAUUGAAACUGUGAGACUUGAGGACGAGAGAGGUGAGUGGAAUUCCCAGUGUAGAGGUGAAAUUCGUAGAUAUCGGGAGGAACACCAGUGGCGAAAGCGGCUACCUGGCCCAUUCUUGACGCUGAGGCGCGAAAGCUAGGGGAGCAAACGGG